Non-coding RNA from Taeniopygia guttata (zebra finch), 448 nucleotides. Lineage: Eukaryota; Metazoa; Chordata; Aves; Passeriformes; Estrildidae. The record is from RefSeq and is a predicted model, not a curated record.
AACCCUCCUUCCUCCUCCUGCCCAUUUCUGUAGUGAGAACUGGGGGAAAUUAGAGCUGUGGCUCAGUCUGUGGUGACUCCCAAAACUCUCUGUGAAGAGCACUGCAGAGACUGAAUUGGACUUACAGCAGAGGAAGCUGAGCUAAGAGGGUUCCACUUAAUAUAUAAAUGACACAUGGCAGGUGUCUGGAAGUGGAACAGGAGAGCUGUGGAGUACUUGAAGACUGAAAUCAUUGAGAGGAAUUUUAAUGGAGGAUUCUGGGUUGGCUUCUUUGCAGGUCCAGGAUCCCACCAUUUUCACUGUCUAAGAAAAGAUUAUUUUAAGUACAGAAGCAAAAUUUGUUUAAACUGGAAAAUGUCAGAGCUUUGGAGAGAAUUAGUAACCAAUAAUUAGUCAAAAUAAUUGAGGUUAGAAACAAGAAUCUUCUUACAAGAAAUGAAAAAUCAUA